CCCUUAGAUGUUCUGGGCCGCACGCGCGCUACACUGAUGAAUGCAACGAGCUCUACCCUUGACCGAAAGGCCCGGGUAAACUUGUGAAACUUCAUCGUGAUGGGGAUAGAUUAUUGCAAUUAUUAAUCUUCAACGAGGAAUUCCUAGUAAGCGCGAGUCAUCAGCUCGCGUUGAUUACGUCCCUGCCCUUUGUACACACCGCCCGUCGCUCCUACCGAUUGAAUGGUCCGGUGAAAUCUUCGGAUUGUUGACCAAGAUCCAGCAAUGGAGCUUGGUUGCGAGAAGUUGAUUAAACCUUAUUAUUUAGAGGAAGGAGAAGUCGUAACA
This 327-nucleotide ribosomal RNA is filed under the name uncultured eukaryote. Its description in RNAcentral is "partial 18S ribosomal RNA". It matches the Rfam family "Eukaryotic small subunit ribosomal RNA", at positions 1470 to 1796 of the family's 1831-position model. The record is from RNAcentral.